CUCGGCAACGGAUAUCUCGGCUCUCGCAUCGAUGAAGAACGUAGCGAAAUGCGAUACUUGGUGUGAAUUGCAGAAUCCCGUGAACCAUCGAGUCUUUGAACGCAAGUUGCGCCCGAAGCCAUUCGGCCGAGGGCACGCCUGCCUGGGUGUCACGC
This 155-nucleotide ribosomal RNA is filed under the name Sonneratia sp. Shi SA166. RNAcentral describes it as "5.8S ribosomal RNA". It matches the Rfam family "5.8S ribosomal RNA". From Rfam's summary of the family: 5.8S ribosomal RNA (5.8S rRNA) is a component of the large subunit of the eukaryotic ribosome. Lineage: Eukaryota; Viridiplantae; Streptophyta; Magnoliopsida; Myrtales; Lythraceae. The record is from RNAcentral.